This 433-nucleotide ribosomal RNA is filed under the name uncultured bacterium. Its description in RNAcentral is "partial 16S ribosomal RNA". It matches the Rfam family "Bacterial small subunit ribosomal RNA", at positions 29 to 507 of the family's 1533-position model. The record is from RNAcentral.
AACGAACGCUGGCGGCAUGCCUAACACAUGCAAGUCGAACGAGACCUUCGGGUCUAGUGGCGCACGGGUGCGUAACGCGUGGGAACCUGCCCUUAGGUUCGGAAUAACUCCCCGAAAGGGGUGCUAAUACCGGAUAAUGUCUUCGGACCAAAGAUUUAUCGCCGUUGGAUGGGCCCGCGUUGGAUUAGCUAGUUGGUAGGGUAAAAGCCUACCAAGGCGACGAUCCAUAGCUGGUCUGAGAGGAUGAUCAGCCACACUGGGACUGAGACACGGCCCAGACUCCUACGGGAGGCAGCAGUGGGGAAUAUUGGACAAUGGGCGAAAGCCUGAUCCAGCAAUGCCGCGUGAGUGAUGAAGGCCUUAGGGUUGUAAAGCUCUUUUACCCGGGAUGAUAAUGACAGUACCGGGAGAAUAAGCACCGGCUAACUCCGUG